GCCACCACACCCAGCUUCCCCUUUAAAUAUUGAAGCCAUCUCUCAAAAUUAUCUUUGGAGAAAGGCACAAACCCCAGACCAUUUCUUUGAUUCCGUGCUUUUUGCUUCUGGGCAUGUCCUUAACCUUGGCAAAAUAAACUUCUAAAUUGAUUGAGACCUGUCUCAGAUACUUUUUGGUUUACAAUUAUAAUCUAUGGUCCCCUAGAUCAUAAGGGCCCUUCCUAUACCCCAGGAAACUCAGUGUUACUAAUACCUAGAAAUUGCCCCUUUUCUGUCUCAUCAGCCAGCCCGUAGCCCCUGGGUGCCCACGUGGCCUCACCUGGCCCCAGUUCACCACAGCCUCUUUGGAUUCUGUGGUUUAACUCAUCAGAUGUGCCAUAUCUUGCUAAUUACAGGAGCAAGGUAAGGAACUAACCUUUACUAAGGAUGCAUUAUUGGCCAGACACUACUGACUCUUACAGUGGCCACUAAACCCUUCACAAUAAUAUCUACUCUUUAGAUAAAUGUUUUUGCCAUUUUAGAAAUUAUGUUGCGUGAAGUCGCUCGGCCAGUAGCAUUGGAAUUGGAGCCCAGACUCAAAGCUCUUAACUCAAAGCCCCCGCUCUGUUCUCCCGCGCAUGGUUGGACCCCUAGCCCUUGGCCCCCUUCCCUUGCCUUUGACCUGCCCCUCAAAGGACUGAGGAUAAUUUGUAGGAAAUCCUGUUCAAGCAAUCUAUGAUCCAGGUAAUCUGUGGUGAGUGAUGGCCAAAGCUAGAGUUGAAGAAGAACACCAGCAUGACAAAGGCAUGUGAGGAGUGGGGGCGGGGAAGCCAGGGAGGGGGCUGGCUUCUUGGUUCAGCCAAGAAGCAGCAACAACUAAAGAGGGAGACAUAGUAGGAUGAAAUGCUAAUUAGUGGCUUCCGGGAUUUUACAAAUAUCUUUAAAUUUAGUGAGUUUUUCAUAUACUUCACAUGAAAAUCGCCUCCCCACACACAGGUCGCAGAAGUUGGUGGCCAUCUGUGCCAUCUUCCCAGUGAACUUGCAGACAAAACCAACAGCACAAUGCUGAUAUGAAGAACAGAUGAAAUUUACAGAUGUUUGCACUUUUCCAUGUGUUUAUUGGCCCCCAUGGCUCUUUCCUGAGUGGCCUGACCAGCCCUCUCCCCCAGUCUCCUGGGCCCCAUAGUAGAGGGAGCAGAAGAGGGUGGGAAGGAGCCCCAGCUGGGAGGAGACAGGAAGGAAAAACCAGCCUUUGUUUGAACCUGAACCCUCGUCCCAGGCUGGCUACCAGUCCUCCUGUUCCAGCCUUCCUUUUCCAGUAUGAAUAAUCCCAGUUUCUUUCAUCUGAACUCCUGAACCUCCUUCAGCUCUUCCAGUCCACCAGCACCCUCGUGAUUCUGGGCUUAACACAGUUUCCAGAUGCAGGGGCGGCUUGGCUGGACUGUUCUGGUUUGGGGUCUCAGAGGAGGUUGCUUUUCAGAUGGGUAACUUUGAAGAUUUCCUCACAUAUCUGGUACAGGACUUACACCUCUGGUGCACAGGCCAAAACUCUCAGUGAUGGAAUCACUGGGACCACUCAGGUAUCUCUUUCUAUUUCUAUUUCUUUGUGGUCUCUCCACAUGGUUUCUUCAACUUGGUGACGUCAGGGUAGCCAAACAUCUUACAUGGGAGCCCAGGGCUCCAGAGAGUACCUGGAAGACAGAAAGAGUGCCAGGUGGAAGCUAGAUCCUUUUUAUGGUCUAGACUUUAGAAGCAUGUCCAGGGCUAGGGGAAGGCAAGAAAGAUGCCUGGGGCAAGUGAUCGAAGGAGGCAUCCUUAUAAAAAGACGUGUUUGGAUGUCACAUAGUAUCCCUUCCACGAUCCAUCCAGUGGGGAGAGUUAACAAGCCCACCCAGGUGUAAGGAGAGGGGACACAAAGGGAGGGAACUCCAUCUUGGUGGGAAUAGUGUCAGUCACAUUGUUAUAAAGAGCAAACUGGAUAUAUGCUCAAGGUCUUUUCGCCUUUCCAAUCUGAUGAGUUAAACAUGGCAUUUUGUUUGUUUUUGAAAACAAACUUCUUUUUGAAAUGUAAUUGAAUUGUACUUUCAAAUCAUAUUACACAUAUGAAAAUCUAUGAACGAGGUGAACAUCUUUUCAGUGUUUGCUUCCUCUUUAGCAAAUUGUCUCCAUAGCCUCUGCCCAUUUUUCUAUUGGUUUUUAGAUCUUUCUCUGUAAGAAAAGUGUGUAGGUGGUUGUGUGUAUGUGUGUGCAGAGACAGAGGAAGAGAGAAAGGAAAUUAGUCUUUUGUUUGUGAUGUGAGCUAUAAACAUUUUUUCCCAUUUAUUAUCUACCUUUCGACUUUGCUUAUGAUGGUUUUUCCAUGCAAAAAAGUUAUUUUUGUGUAGUUAAAUUUCUCUUUUCUUUUAGUCUUCUGGAUUUUUGUCAUACUUGAAAAGGCCUCUCUCACUCUGAAAUUAUAAAAUUUUCCCCAUGUUUUCUUCCACUCUGUGUGUGCAUGUGUGCACGCAUGAACACAUGCACGUAUAUAUAUGUGUUCGUUUUUUUACAUCUUUACCUUUGCUGUAUUCAGUAUUAAUUUUACUCUAAGAUAUGAGGUAGGGGUGCAAAUAUCCUUUUUCUUGAUGGCUAUCUAGUUGAUUUGAAAUGUUGCCUUUAUUAUAUAAAUUACUGAAGUCAACGUUUGUAAUUCCAUUUCAUUCAUGUAUGUGGGUCUUUAUGUGAUAGUGCUACAAUAUUGUAAGAAUUGUAGCUGUGAGAUGUAUUGUCCGGUAGGGCGACUUCCCUUUAUUCAUUUUUAUAAUUUUGUUAACUAUUCUUUCUACUUUUUAAAUGAAAACCAUUUAUUAAGUUAAUUGCAUGGUGGUAUUACUGGUCAUGAAAUGUGAUUAGGAUGAGCGAGCUCACUGGGUGUUUCAGAUUUUUCUGAACAUAAAAAAAGGGAAAUGAAACAGCCAGGCAUGAGCGUCUGUAAUCCCAGCACU
RNAcentral lists this long non-coding RNA (2960 nucleotides) under Homo sapiens (human). RNAcentral describes it as "HSALNT0327536". The record is from RNAcentral. Lineage: Eukaryota; Metazoa; Chordata; Mammalia; Primates; Hominidae.